Molecule: small RNA, 551 nt
Filed under: Pongo abelii (Sumatran orangutan)
Lineage: Eukaryota; Metazoa; Chordata; Mammalia; Primates; Hominidae
Description: processed transcript
Source: RNAcentral
AGGAAGUACACCUCUCCCUUGGAUACUGGAAGGGAAGGCGUUACUGAUGAAAACUCCAAAGAAGGAAGAGGAACCGUGGAGCAUGCAACACAUCCCGGCACUGUUUUCAGCCUUCUGUGGCCUCUUGGUCGCCCUUUCCUACCAUCUGAGCCGGCAGAGCAGUGACCCAUCUGUACUCAUGUCCUUCAUCCAAUGCAGGCUGUUUCCUAAAUUUUUACAUCAAAAUCUGGAAGAGUCAGCUGCUGACCCUCUCCCCAAGAAGAUGAAAGAUUCAGUGAUGGAUGUCUUAAAAUGGGAUCUCAUCGUCUGCGCAGUGGUUGCUGUCCUCUCAUUUGCAGUCAGCGCCAGCACUGUAUUCCUGUCAUUGCGACCAUUUCUCAGCAUCGUGCUGUUUGCCUUGGCUGGAGCCGUGGGGUUUGUAACACAUUACGUGCUCCCUCAGCUCCGCAAGCAUCAUCCCUGGAUGUGGAUUUCACACCCCAUUCUCAAAAACAAAGAGUAUCAUCAACGGGAAGUGAGAGAUGUCGCCCAUUUAAUGUGGUUCGAAAGAC